Molecule: ribosomal RNA, 534 nt
Filed under: Triticum aestivum (bread wheat)
Lineage: Eukaryota; Viridiplantae; Streptophyta; Magnoliopsida; Poales; Poaceae
Description: partial small subunit ribosomal RNA
Source: RNAcentral
AUGGAAACUGUUGGAUGGUCCUAUGAGCUAGCCCACUCCAUCAUACUAAAAAACAUGCGAGCAUUUUUCUUAUCACUCACCGGCGUUCCUCUCUCCACCGGACCCUUCCUAUCUCGCCAUUGCGGAGGCGGCAGCAGCGACGACGCCGGAGGGACGACCAAGAGGCGAUGGCUACCUCUCUCGUGUGUGGAGUAUUUCCCUUUCCCUCUCUCACGCGGCAGCGAUUUGGAGGCGACGUGGGCACUGCAAAGGUCCGGCGCAAGCUCGGCUGCGACAACGGACUUCUCCGACGCCCCUCUCCACAAUUGGCGGUCCUCCCGCCGGCAAAUGAGGAUUGAAAUUCUGCCAAGAAAUCUUAGAGCAGAAGAUGUUUGCAAGGGACUUGGAAGACGAGGGAAUGCUGCGCAGGCGAGAAAAUGGCAAUUUGGAGAAAUUCGUGGUUACCACCAGUCUCGAGUUAGAUUUAUUUCAAUUGCAACCAGGCAGAGUGUUGUGAAUUUGAAUUUGGGUGUGCAUGAUCUUACUAGCUUCUAA